This is a long non-coding RNA of Tribolium castaneum (red flour beetle), 788 nucleotides long. RefSeq lists it as uncharacterized. The record is from RefSeq and is a predicted model, not a curated record. Lineage: Eukaryota; Metazoa; Arthropoda; Insecta; Coleoptera; Tenebrionidae. The transcript has 2 exons.
UCAGUUUCUCUGUACUUGUAUCAGUGGGUAUUUCACGUUGUAAUUACAUUGCUUUACUUUUAAGUAGACAUUUACAGAUAAACUUUAAGUAAUUUCUCGCGUUUCAAAUAUCCUGAUAUAAAAACAAUACUUAAAUACAGUUUUUCUUUUAAGUGAAGACUCAUUUUAAAGCGCGAUUUCCAACAACCGAGACAAUGUCUUUUGUUACCAAAGCAUUACUUGUAAUUAUGGUCUUGAUUUCUUUAACUGUUGGGGAAGUCUAUAAACCACCACCAGGACAUCAUAAGGGUCGAAAAUAAAUAUUACUAACGCUACCCAGAAAUAAUAAUUAUUGGGAUGGUUUACUGGCUGAAUACUUUUAUUUCAACAUGUGUUUCUUUCGUAACAGCAUAAUAUUUUCUUUACUCUAUGUUGGUAACAUUUCGUAUCCAGUCUACAAACGGAUAUGUUCGUGUAUAACCCGAUGGCUCAGGCGUAUCGCAUCCAUUUUUGCUAAUAAAACUGGCAACACCCACAUGGGUAGUUCGAGGUCCGUUACUAUAUCGUACCAAGGGCGUUCCACUAUCACCCUGAAAAGAUUUGCAAACUUCAAACAAAACCAGUGUUGUUGUGGCAAACCUUCCAAAAACCUUCGUUAAAAUUACCACCAGCACACACCAUCGUGUCCAAAAUUUGACUACCAAAGCUGAGUUGGCACUCUUCAUUAGAAAUUGGAAUUAAAUAGACAUAAUGGAGCUCAUCGGUGAUUCCAGCCGUUUCUGAAUAUUUAAAUAGACUUAAUUACUACA